AUACGGAGGGUGCAAGCGUUACUCGGAAUCACUGGGCGUAAAGCGCGCGCAGGCGGCUUGAUAAGUUGGAUGUGAAAGCCUACGGCCCAACCGUAGAACUGCAUCCAAAACUGUCAAGCUAGAGUCUGGGAGGGGAAGAUGGAAUUAGUUGUGUAGGGGUAAAAUCCGUAGAGAUAACUAGGAAUACCAAAAGCGAAGGCGAUCUUCUGGAACAGUACUGACGCUGAGGCGCGAAAGCGUGGGGAGCAAACAGGAUUAGAAACCCCAGUAGUCC
RNAcentral lists this ribosomal RNA (274 nucleotides) under uncultured bacterium. RNAcentral's name for it is "partial 16S ribosomal RNA". It matches the Rfam family "Bacterial small subunit ribosomal RNA", at positions 523 to 796 of the family's 1533-position model. The record is from RNAcentral.